GUUGUGGCUCAGUGGUACAGCACUUGCCUAGCAUGUGUGAGGCACUGGGUUCAAUUCUCAGCACAACA
Molecule: transfer RNA, 68 nt
Filed under: Marmota marmota marmota (Alpine marmot)
Lineage: Eukaryota; Metazoa; Chordata; Mammalia; Rodentia; Sciuridae
Also listed under: 1 other name
Rfam family: tRNA
About the family: Transfer RNA (tRNA) molecules are approximately 80 nucleotides in length. Their secondary structure includes four short double-helical elements and three loops (D, anti-codon, and T loops).
Source: Rfam by way of RNAcentral